This 253-nucleotide ribosomal RNA is filed under the name uncultured bacterium. RNAcentral's name for it is "partial 16S ribosomal RNA". It matches the Rfam family "Bacterial small subunit ribosomal RNA", at positions 524 to 776 of the family's 1533-position model. The record is from RNAcentral.
UACGGAGGGUGCAAGCGUUGUUCGGAAUUAUUGGGCGUAAAGGGCAGGUAGGUGGUCUUAUAAGUCUACUGUGAAAUCCCCGGGCUUAACUGGGGAACUGCGUCUGAGACUGGAUGGCUUGAGUGCAGGAGAGGAACGCGGAAUUCCAGGUGUAGCGGUGAAAUGCGUAGAUAUCAGGAGGAACACCCGUGGUGUAGACGGCCUGCUGGACGGUCACUGACGCUGAGGCACGAAAGCGUGGGGAGCAAACAGG